CCUACGGGAGGCUGCAGUGGGGAAUAUUGCACAAUGGGCGCAAGCCUGAUGCAGCCAUGCCGCGUGUGUGAAGAAGGCCUUCGGGUUGUAAAGCACUUUCAGCGGGGAGGAAGGCGUUAAGGUUAAUAACCUUGGCGAUUGACGUUACCCGCAGAAGAAGCACCGGCUAACUCCGUGCCAGCAGCCGCGGUAAUACGGAGGGUGCAAGCGUUAAUCGGAAUUACUGGGCGUAAAGCGCACGCAGGCGGUCUGUCAAGUCGGAUGUGAAAUCCCUGGGCUCAACCUGGGAACUGCAUUCGAAACUGGCAGGCUAGAGUCUUGUAGAGGGGGGUAGAAUUCCAGGUGUAGCGGUGAAAUGCGUAGAGAUCUGGAGGAAUACCGGUGGCGAAGGCGGCCCCCUGGACAAAGACUGACGCUCAGGUGCGAAAGCGUGGGGAGCAAACAGGAUUAGAUACCCCUGUAGUC
This 465-nucleotide ribosomal RNA is filed under the name uncultured Klebsiella sp. RNAcentral's name for it is "bacterial SSU rRNA". It matches the Rfam family "Bacterial small subunit ribosomal RNA", at positions 338 to 795 of the family's 1533-position model. Lineage: Bacteria; Pseudomonadati; Pseudomonadota; Gammaproteobacteria; Enterobacterales; Enterobacteriaceae. The record is from RNAcentral.